RNAcentral lists this ribosomal RNA (404 nucleotides) under uncultured bacterium. Its description in RNAcentral is "bacterial SSU rRNA". It matches the Rfam family "Bacterial small subunit ribosomal RNA", at positions 354 to 774 of the family's 1533-position model. The record is from RNAcentral.
GUAGGGAAUAUUGCAAAAUGGGCGAAAGCCCGAUGCAGCAACGCCGCGUGGGCGAUGAAGGCCUUCGGGUCGUAAAGCCCUUUUUGAGGGGAUGAGGAAGGGCAGUACCCUCAGAAUAAGCCUCGGCUAACUACGUGCCCGCAGCCGCGGUAAAACGUAGGAGGCGAGCGUUAUCCGGAUUUACUGGGCGUAAAGCGCGUGCAGGCGGAUUGGAGAGUUGGAUGUGAAAGCUCCCGGCUUAACUGGGAGAGGUCGUUCAAUACUUCCAGUCUUGAGUGCAGUAGAGGGAAGUGGAAUUCCGGGUGUAGUGGUGAAAUGCGUAGAUAUCCGGAGGAACACCAGUGGCGAAAGCGGCUUCCUGGACUGUAACUGACGCUCAGACGCGAAAGCUAGGGUAGCAAACG